GAAUAGAAGAUAAUGAAAUUGGAAUAGAAGAUGAGAUACCACCUACACCUAGUAGUGGAAAUGUUGGUAGUAUUGGAGUUGGAGUUGCUAGGGCUACAAGGGGUAGAAGACCACCAGUUGCUCCAACUUCUACUCGUAAAAAAAAAGAAGUCCGGUUUGGAAAUUUUUUGAAAUAAUAGAAGGUACUGAUAGAGUUAAGUGCAAACUUUGCAAUGAAACUUUUAAACAUUUGAC
RNAcentral lists this long non-coding RNA (234 nucleotides) under Nicotiana benthamiana. RNAcentral's name for it is "long non-coding RNA (NBEN_LNC026168)". Lineage: Eukaryota; Viridiplantae; Streptophyta; Magnoliopsida; Solanales; Solanaceae. The record is from RNAcentral.